RNAcentral lists this ribosomal RNA (245 nucleotides) under uncultured Corynebacterium sp. RNAcentral describes it as "partial 16S ribosomal RNA". It matches the Rfam family "Bacterial small subunit ribosomal RNA", at positions 796 to 1041 of the family's 1533-position model. The record is from RNAcentral. Lineage: Bacteria; Bacillati; Actinomycetota; Actinomycetes; Mycobacteriales; Corynebacteriaceae.
CAUGCCGUAAACGGUGGGCGCUAGGUGUAGGGGACUUCCACGUCUUCUGUGCCGUAGCUAACGCAUUAAGCGCCCCGCCUGGGGAGUACGGCCGCAAGGCUAAAACUCAAAGGAAUUGACGGGGGCCCGCACAAGCGGCGGAGCAUGUGGAUUAAUUCGAUGCAACGCGAAGAACCUUACCUGGGCUUGACAUACACCGGACCGCUGCAGAGAUGCAGCUUCCCUUGUGGCCGGUGUACAGGUGG